Molecule: ribosomal RNA, 416 nt
Filed under: uncultured eukaryote
Lineage: Eukaryota
Description: SSU rRNA
Rfam family: Eukaryotic small subunit ribosomal RNA
Source: RNAcentral
CAAUAGCGUAUAUUAAAGUUGUUGCAGUUAAAAAGCUCGUAGUUGGAUUUCGGGAUGGGCCAGUCGGUCUGCCGUAAGGUAUGUUACUGGCUGGUCUGUCCUUCUUCGCAAAGACUGCGUGUGCCCUUAAUUGUGUGUGCGUAGGAUUUGCGACGUUUACUUUGAAAAAAUUAGAGUGUUCAAAGCAGGCUGACCGCUUGAAUACAUGAGCAUGGAAUAAUGGAAUAGGACUUUGGUUCUAUUUUGUUGGUUUCUUGAACCGAAGUAAUGAUUAAUAGGGACAGUUGGGGGCAUUCAUAUUCCAAUGUCAGAGGUGAAAUUCUUGGAUUAUCGGAAGAUGAACUUCUGCGAAAGCAUCUGCCAAGGAUGUUUUCAUUGAUCAAGAACGAAAGUUAGGGGAUCGAAGACGAUCAGAU